RNAcentral lists this ribosomal RNA (521 nucleotides) under uncultured bacterium. RNAcentral's name for it is "bacterial SSU rRNA". It matches the Rfam family "Bacterial small subunit ribosomal RNA", at positions 239 to 776 of the family's 1533-position model. The record is from RNAcentral.
GAUUAGGUAGUUGGUAGGGUAAUAGCCUACCAAGCCUUUGAUCUUUAGCUGUACUGAGAGGUUGGUCAGCCACACUGGGACUGAGACAAGGCCCAGGCUUCCUUCGAAGCCAGCAGUGAGGAAUUUUGGACAAUGAGCGAAAGCUUGGUCCAGCAAUACUCCAUGAAUGAUGACAGCUUUCAAGUUGUAAAAUUCUUUGGUUGAUGAGGAUUAUGACAGUAAUCAACUGAAUAGCCCCGGCUAACUUCGUGCCAGCAGCCGCGGUAAGACGAAGGGGGCGAGCGUUAUCCGGAAUGACUGGGCGUAAAGGGUCCGUAGGUUGUAUUUUUUGUUAAAGGUGAAAAAUUAAAGCUUAACUUUUUUUAAGCCUUUAAAACGUUUAGACUUUGAGUUUGAAAGAGGAUAGCAGAAUUUCACAUGGAGGGGUGAUAUCCUUAGAUAUGUGAAGGAAUACCAGAGGCGAAGGCGGUUAUCUAGUUCAAUACUGACACUGAGGGACGAAAGCAUGGGUAGCAAACAGG